AUACGGAGGAUGCAAGCGUUAUCCGGAUUUAUUGGGUUUAAAGGGUGCGCAGGCGGUACCGGUAAGUCAGGGGUGAAACUUUACAGCUUAACUGUAAACGUGCCUUUGAUACUGUCGGACUAGAGUUUAAGAGACGUAAUUGGAAUGUGAUGUGUAGCGGUGAAAUGCUUAGAUAUAUCACAGAACGCCAAUCAUGAAGACAGAUUACGAACUUAAUACUGACGCUCAUGCACGAAAGCGUGGGGAUC
RNAcentral lists this ribosomal RNA (248 nucleotides) under uncultured bacterium. RNAcentral describes it as "partial 16S ribosomal RNA". It matches the Rfam family "Bacterial small subunit ribosomal RNA", at positions 523 to 769 of the family's 1533-position model. The record is from RNAcentral.